This 460-nucleotide ribosomal RNA is filed under the name uncultured bacterium. RNAcentral describes it as "partial 16S ribosomal RNA". It matches the Rfam family "Bacterial small subunit ribosomal RNA", at positions 338 to 795 of the family's 1533-position model. The record is from RNAcentral.
CCUACGGGAGGCAGCAGUGAGGAAUAUUGGUCAAUGGACGAGAGUCUGAACCAGCCAAGUAGCGUGAAGGAUGACUGCCCUAUGGGUUGUAAACUUCUUUUAUAUGGGAAUAAAAUGUUCCACGUGUGGGAUUUUGUAUGUACCAUAUGAAUAAGGAUCGGCUAACUCCGUGCCAGCAGCCGAGGUAAUACGGAGGAUCCGAGCGUUACCCGGAUUUUUUGGGUUUAAAGGGAGCGUAGGUGGAUUGUUAAGUCAGUUGUGAAAGUUUGCGGCUCAACCGUAAAAUUGCAGUUGAAACUGGCAGUCUUGAGUACAGUAGAGGUGGGCGGAAUUCGUGGUGUAGCGGUGAAAUGCUUAGAUAUCACGAAGAACUCCGAUUGCGAAGGCAGCUCACUGGACUGCAACUGACACUGAGGCUCGAAAGUGUGGGUAUCAAACAGGAUUAGAUACCCGUGUAGUC